GUGGCGGUGCAGUCCCACCGGGCGUCCGCGUCCAGCAGGGCGUCCUCGCCGAACCGGUCGCCGUCGGCGAGUACGGCGACGGCGGUCUCGUUUCCGUACUUGCCGACCGUGGUCUGGCUGACGCGGCCGUGAGCGAUCAUGUGGAACUGCUCGGCGGGCGUGCCGCGUUCGACCAGGGUCUCACCGGCGCGGAAGUCGCGCUGGACGCAGCGGUCGGCGAUCGCGGUCAGCACCUCCACGUCCUCGAAGCCACGCAGCAGGGCCAGUUCGCCGAGCUCGCGGGGAAUCACCCGGACGGUGCCACCGUCCUGGACGAACUCCACGCGCCCGUCGCCGACGGUGUAGGUCAGCCGACGGUUCACCCGGUAGGUGCCGCCCUUGACCUCGACCCAGGGGAGUGUCCGCAGCAGCCAGCGGGAGGUGAUCCCCUGCAUCUGCGGCGCGGACUUGGUCGUGGUGGCGAGGUUGCGGGCAGCCGCCGUGCCCAGGCUGGACUGCCGAGGCGG
Streptomyces hygroscopicus is the source of this 506-nucleotide non-coding RNA. Lineage: Bacteria; Bacillati; Actinomycetota; Actinomycetes; Kitasatosporales; Streptomycetaceae. The record is from Rfam.